CUCUAUUUUCAGACUUGGGCAAACUCUACUCCUCAAUUUGUGGAAAAAUCUCAGUAUUGAUCUAUGCAUGGCCAGUGCAAAGGCUUUUAUAUGGACCAACCCCAGUCAGAAAGCAGGCACUUGGAAACCUCGUGUCUGUGAAGAACAAGGGGUGGAACCUCUGAAAUCCUCCCCUUUGAGAUUUCCCAUGCAUUCACACAUCCUUCUGUGUGCCUUGAAAAUGUAAGAAACAGAUGUGGGCAAGAGGCAGCCAGAAGACUCCGGCACAGGCCCUGCAACCUAUCUGCUCACAUCCUGCUUGGGAGACAUGUCAGCGAUAAACUCCAGGAGUAGUCACGAGGGCUGACAGGGGUUCCUGCCCGGCUCUGCAUCCAACAGCCUGGUGGAGCCUAGGCUAAGUCUACAAAAAUACGGAGCUCAGAGCUCCUACCUAGAUUUCUUUGCUUUAUUCAGGCAGAAUUGACAAAUUAAAAGGUAUGUAUUUAAGGAACACUCCGCAGGGUCCCGAGUAGGCAGUUGUGGUCCACAGGCCACUGGCAAACAGAGGCAGAGCCACAGAGGGGCUGCUCGUCCCCAAAUGUCUCUCCAGCCGCUCUGAAGCUGCUGCGGGCUGCUGUGCUGGUGAUGGCUGAGAUCAUGAGAUGAGCCCCGGGGGUCCCUGGGCAUCCCUGGGAGGUCCUGGAGGUCCAUGGAGAAGGUGGAACACUGGACUAAAGAGACAGGCUGAGGAAGCCCUCAAGUCACCCCUGAUGGAGGCCAGACCUUGAAUGUUACAAUCCCUCUGCUUAUCGACCCUUAAUAAAAAUCUGAGCAGGUCUUCUCUGCAGGACACAGGAGGCUUUCUGGAAAAAAAAACAUGGAAAAGAAGUCCGGAAGUGCUCGACCAAGAGAUCGCGAGAUGGGAGCAGAGAGUACAGGAAAGGAAGGAGGAGAAAGAAAGGCUGGAAACCUUUGAAUGCACAAAAAAAACAGGUCAUGAAAGAUACCACGAGCCAACUAAAAUCUCUGGCUGAAAAUGUGCUGGACACCAUGCAGUUGGAAGAUUUCACUAGGGACCGCAGUGAUGAGGGGAACUUGGAAGCAGAGCUAAAGAGGAAAGCAGAAAAUGAAGAAACCACCCCCUUAAAAAUUAAGUAAAUUUUUUUAAAGUUAUGUGCAUACAUUCUGUAUAUACAGAAAAGAUAUCUAAAUUGUAUGCACGCAGAAGGAGCAUUGCCCCCACAAGGAACAGUUCAUGCUAAAUGGUGCAGAUGAAGAGACUUUGACAAAGGAAGUUUCCUGAGCUGUGGGCAGGGAUGAGAGCUCAGACAAAUGAUGGGAAGCCUCCCAGAUGCCAAGGUUUCCCACCCCCAGGUUUCAAGGGAGGAGAGAGGAAGUGAUGUCAUCUGAGCCCAGUGAGGCCCUGUCAAGGGACCAGGGAAAACUGCCCCCACUUUUUGCUCCCAUCCUCUCAUUGACUGCAGGUGCACAGGCAGCUGCCUGAAAGAGGGCCUGCGAAGUGCAAGCCAGAGGAGUUGGCCUCCAUGGCACAGAGCAGGCAGAAAACAAAUUUGGAGAAUGACCAGCACUCUUGGGUUUAUUUGACUGAAAGUGCUUGUUU
This 1600-nucleotide long non-coding RNA is filed under the name Homo sapiens (human). Its description in RNAcentral is "long non-coding RNA NONHSAT190974.1". The record is from RNAcentral. Lineage: Eukaryota; Metazoa; Chordata; Mammalia; Primates; Hominidae.